GUCGUUUCUCACGCGUACGAAACAGGUACCGUCAUCACAAGCACGACUGUCAACAGGCAGAUAUGAAAAGGUUUCCCUCUCCUGUGUGUAAUACUUUGAAGGUUUCGAGCGUGGAGAAUCGUUAAAUCAAGAGCAGGUACCGCCAUAAACAAUAAGACAUUAGAAAAUUUCCUUCCUCCGUGUGCCAUGCCUUGAAAGGCUAUACAUGUGCUAAGGACGGUACGCACAGACGGUACACGUGUCAUCGGAACUUGACAUGCAUCCUUCUGAGUCAUCAACUAUGGAUGCAUCUAUAUGCUUUCAGCUGUGAAGAAAAUGACAUUUGCCGGCAGUGUUAUAGCUCUUGAGGAGGCUUAUGCUGAGAUACAAGCUAAUGAUAUAGCAAGCCUGUACCCAAACUAUUUGGCCCACUGUAAGAAGUUGUAUGAUCGUCGUCAGGCAU
Long non-coding RNA from Penaeus chinensis, 442 nucleotides. RefSeq lists it as uncharacterized. The record is from RefSeq and is a predicted model, not a curated record. The transcript has 3 exons. Lineage: Eukaryota; Metazoa; Arthropoda; Malacostraca; Decapoda; Penaeidae.